Molecule: ribosomal RNA, 212 nt
Filed under: uncultured bacterium
Lineage: Bacteria
Description: partial 16S ribosomal RNA
Rfam family: Bacterial small subunit ribosomal RNA
Source: RNAcentral
UACGUAGGGCGCAAGCGUUGUCCGGAAUUAUUGGGCGUAAAGAGCUCGUAGGCGGUUUGUCGCGUCUGCUGUGAAAACUCGAGGCUCAACCUCGGGCUUGCAGUGGGUACGGGCAGACUAGAGUGCGGUAGGGGUGACUGGAAUUCCUGGUGUAGCGGUGGAAUGCGCAGAGUAUCAGGAGGGAACACCCGGUGGCGAAGGCGGGUCUCUGG